RNAcentral lists this long non-coding RNA (215 nucleotides) under Mytilus galloprovincialis (Mediterranean mussel). The record is from RNAcentral. Lineage: Eukaryota; Metazoa; Mollusca; Bivalvia; Mytilida; Mytilidae.
AAUUUUUCCUGCAUUCAUGGUGGGAAAAAAUCCCAAACAAAUUCGAAAUAAAAACAAAGGCUGAUGUCAAUAACCUUCUUGAUGUUUCUCUAAUAAACAAUAAAAUUUUUGAUGAAAAACGUAAACCUCCAGCGCAUUAAAAAAUAUCUUACCAUUGAAGCUUGGAAACAACUAAAAAUUAAGAAUUAAGAUCACGAAAAGAAGGGAAAUGUGCG